Long non-coding RNA from Nanorana parkeri, 258 nucleotides. RefSeq lists it as uncharacterized. The transcript is spliced from 4 exons. The record is from RefSeq and is a predicted model, not a curated record. NCBI's taxonomy places the organism in Eukaryota, Metazoa, Chordata, Amphibia, Anura, Dicroglossidae.
UUCUAUAACCUCCAGCUACACCAGUUCAGCCAUGCCAGGUCAUCCCACAGCCAUGUGGAGUUGGUGUUGACCCAUGCCAACAAUCUGGAGGUGGUGCUGGAGGAAUAGCUGGAGGAUUUGGCAGCGGAGCACAAGGCAUUGUUGACCCAUGCCAACUUUCCGGUGGAGUUUCUAUUGGAACUGGCGGAGGAUAUGGAGGGCAAGAUGUUGAUCCAUGCCAACAUACAGGUGGUGGAUUUGGUGGUGGAGCACAAGUUA